GAAUUUCCGCAUUCGACGCACGCGAUCGCCUCACUUAUUUCGCCAAGAGUUGAGUUUUCUCUAACCGCGGAAGCCGGCCCACGAAUCGAACCCGUCCGAUAGCCCUGUACGUCGUGUACGAAGGUCCACUUCCGCAUCGACAAUGACUGAUAUUUUAGAAAAGUGAAUUAGUUCGCGAGGAUAAACCGGGUGAAGUCACACGGAGUUACGUCGCGCGCAAGGUCGCCCGUAAUCGCCGCACAUGUUUCCUAAAUUUGGGAAAGCAUAUCGAAAUGGAAAUCGGUCGUACUCUCUCGACGAGGGAAGCGAUGGACGAUAAACGUAUUCCCGGUGACCGAAUAUUCUCAGAUAAUUAUAGGUAGAACGAGUGGAAAUCAAAGUACCCGCUACCGCGAUCCGUCAGGUGAAGUUACAU
This 415-nucleotide unclassified non-coding RNA is filed under the name Athalia rosae (coleseed sawfly). RNAcentral describes it as "misc RNA ENSAEAG00005012246.1". Lineage: Eukaryota; Metazoa; Arthropoda; Insecta; Hymenoptera; Athaliidae. The record is from RNAcentral.